AACGAACGCUGGCGGCAGGCCUAACACAUGCAAGUCGAGCGAGAACUUCGGUUCUAGCGGCGGACGGGUGAGUAACACGUGGGUAACCUGCCCUAAAGUGGGGGAUAACAUUUGGAAACAGAUGCUAAUACCGCAUAAACCUCAAAAGCACAUGCUUUUGAGUUGAAAGAUGGCGUAAGCUAUCGCUUUUGGAUGGACCCGCGGCGUAUUAGCUAGUUGGUGAGGUAAAGGCUCACCAAGGCUGUGAUACGUAGCCGACCUGAGAGGGUAAUCGGCCACAUUGGGACUGAGACACGGCCCAAACUCCUACGGGAGGCAGCAGUAGGGAAUCUUCCACAAUGGACGAAAGUCUGAUGGAGCAACGCCGCGUGAGUGAAGAAGGUUUUCGGAUCGUAAAACUCUGUUGUUGGAGAAGAACGUACGUGAGAGUAACUGUUCACGUAGUGACGGUAUCCAACCAGAAAGCCACGGCUAACUACGUGCCAGCAGCCGCCGUAAAAC
Molecule: ribosomal RNA, 501 nt
Filed under: uncultured bacterium
Lineage: Bacteria
Description: bacterial SSU rRNA
Rfam family: Bacterial small subunit ribosomal RNA
Source: RNAcentral